UGUAACGAUAAGAUAAGAUAGCCCUUAUCAGUCCCAUGAUUGGGAAAUUCACAGCAUUACAGCAGCAAAACGAGCAGGAAUAAAAUAAAUAGAAGCAGCAAUAAAAAAAUAACCCCCAACAUACAACAAUAGAAGACAAACAUACUCGCUCUCUCUCCUCCUCCUGAAGGGUUGAUCCAGACUACAUCCUGCCUUCCUGUGACUUGAUGUUUCAUCAGCAGGUACAGGAAGCCGGGGUAACUGAUGGUCAUGUCCGGCUCCGUGUAUCUCAGUCCAACCAGCUGCAUCACCAACUCGUCCACCCUGAUGCCUGCAGCAGGGACAAAUGGAACAGAGGUGGGGGUAAAACGCGGGUGCAGAAGCAGUGGGACGGAUAUUCUGUUUUUAUUGCAAUAAAUUUCACAUGUGCACAGGUGACAUAUAUUCUCUGAUCCCAGCCAGUCCAUUAAGCUUAAAGAAGCAGCUCCAGUCUGACUGUAUGAGAAAGUUCUCCACUUUGACACCACCCAUCUGUAUCCAUCAGCCACUGUCGGCUCAUUUCACUGAGAUCUCCAGCUGCACUCCGCUACAGCCACAGUGUUAGCAAUGCUGCUGGUCUUACCGUCCACCUCCUGAUCUUGUCCCACAGACUCUGGAACUCGGGCCAGUUUAGCUGAGCGAUGCCUUGGCUCUGGAGAAAAGUCUCAGGUCAAAGAAAUCAAACCAAAAAUAUCCCAACAGGCCUCGGAGGACACUGAGCUGACAGGCUGCUGAGAGUCAGCUGCUAACAGAUGUGUGAAGUGUAAGGACUUAUCAGCAAAGAACUUCAGAUCUCUCACAGAUUAGAUUCCUGCGCACGAUAAUAAAAUGUUUUGCUUUAA
This is a long non-coding RNA of Oreochromis niloticus (Nile tilapia), 860 nucleotides long. RefSeq lists it as uncharacterized. The record is from RefSeq and is a predicted model, not a curated record. The transcript is spliced from 3 exons. NCBI's taxonomy places the organism in Eukaryota, Metazoa, Chordata, Actinopteri, Cichliformes, Cichlidae.